This 673-nucleotide ribosomal RNA is filed under the name uncultured bacterium. Its description in RNAcentral is "bacterial SSU rRNA". It matches the Rfam family "Bacterial small subunit ribosomal RNA", at positions 8 to 670 of the family's 1533-position model. The record is from RNAcentral.
AGAGUUUGAUCCUGGCUCAGGAUGAACGCUAGCGGCAGGCUUAAUACAUGCAAGUCGAGGGGCAGCAGGUCUGUAGCAAUACAGAUGCUGGCGACCGGCAAACGGGUGCGGAACACGUACACAACCUUCCUUUAAGUGGGGAAUAGCCCAGAGAAAUUUGGAUUAAUACCCCGGUAAUAUAUAGAAGUGGCAUCACUUUUAUCUUAUAGCUCCGGCGCUUAAUGAUGGGUGUGCGGCUGAUUAGAUAGUUGGCGGGGUAACGGCCCACCAAGUCUGCGAUCAGUAACUGGUGUGAGAGCACGACCAGUCACACGGGCACUGAGACACGGGCCCGACUCCUACGGGAGGCAGCAGUAAGGAAUAUUGGUCAAUGGACGCAAGUCUGAACCAGCCAUGCCGCGUGGAGGAUGAAGGCCCUCUGGGUUGUAAACUUCUUUUAUCUGGGACGAAAAAGGGACUUUCUAGUUCAACUGACGGUACCAGAGGAAUAAGCACCGGCUAACUCCGUGCCAGCAGCCGCGGUAAUACGGAGGGUGCAAGCGUUAUCCGGAUUCACUGGGUUUAAAGGGUGCGUAGGUGGGCAGGUAAGUCAGUGGUGAAAUCUUUGGGCUUAACCCCGAAAACUGCCAUUGAUACUAUUUGUCUUGAAUAUUGUGGAGGUCAGCGGGAAUAU